Ictalurus punctatus (channel catfish) is the source of this 5518-nucleotide long non-coding RNA. The record is from Ensembl. NCBI's taxonomy places the organism in Eukaryota, Metazoa, Chordata, Actinopteri, Siluriformes, Ictaluridae.
CGGAAAGAAGGAAGGAAAGAGGAAUCAUGGGAUAUGAAGAAAGGAAGGAAGGAAGAGCGAUGGAAAGAGGGAAGAAUGGAAGUGAUAGAGAGAAAGAAGCUGAAUGGAGAGACGAGACUAAAAGAAAGGGGAAAUUCUAAGAGCUGAGACACUAUUUUUACCGAGACAUUUGUACUAAUUCCAUGUUCUCAUUUUUUUAAUUUCAUUUCUCUUUUAUUUAUUCGAAUUAUUUAAAUUAUAAAUACUUUUCUAGAAUAUUAGAUAAAUGAGUUGUUUUUUUUACUUAUUUACUAUAUUAUUUAUUUAUUUAUUUAUUUUCGCAGUGAAAGGAUUUGAGUAAAACAGCAGAUCAAGCAGCAGGUUUAAUAAUUGAAUACCUAUUACACAGAUCAGCGUCAUCCUUUAUUUAUUUAUUUAUUUAUAUAUUUUAAAUCCUUGUCCUCCCCUCUGUCUCUGACUCACCCCGCUGUUUCUGUCCAUAAUCCCUUCUCUAUUUUAUUAGCCCUUUUUAUUGCUCAGUACAGCAGGAUUUGACAAAUGCAAUGGGGUUUUGGUGACAGGGUCGUGCUUGUCCUCGCACCCUUUCACCCCGGGCACCCAUCAGCGCCUGCUGACGGCUUCAUCAACACACUCACCCCCUCCUCCUUUUACCCAUCCUCCUCCUCCUUCUCCUCCUCCACCCUUCCCUCCUCCCCAUGUUCCCUCCUCCCUGUUUUUGAGCGUUUGUUCCUAGCAUCUGUUUCGCCUGGUGAUUAAUUGCAAUUAGCGAGAGGGUUGAAAGCCCGUGGAAGAAUGCAGCGGUGAGCAGACACAUCAAGAUUAAUGAGGGAAGGCAGUUGUCAGAAGGACGCACGCCUGCGAUGGCAGGGCACCUGGGGGGGAGGAGGAGGAGGAGGAAGGGAGGGUGCAUUUGUAUAGGGCAGAAGCAAGUGUGUGUGUGUGUGUGUGUGUGUUUGAAAUACCCUCCGCAUGUUUACUGCUUAUCAUAUCUCUAGGCUUUUUUUCCUCCCAGCGAGAGGCAGUGUGUCCCUGCAGGAGGAAGAACAGAGGAUAGACAGAAUGAGACAAGAAGAGUGAGAAGGGAGGGAAGAGGAGUCAAGGAAGGGAGGAGAGAAGAGGAGGGCAAACGCAACCCCGGGGGGCUGAUUAAAUAUGGAAAUUUUAAUUGCUAAUUGACCUUUAUUAAUCAGAGCACAGAAGUGUAUCUUUUGUACUUACUGUGGCUGAGAUGUGAGUUUAUCAGAGAGAGAGAGAGAGAGAGAGAGAGAAAGUAAGCAUGUGCAUGCUACUGGAGUUAGGGGUCCUAGCCUGUUAAUUUUUUCUGCUUACAAAUUAAAGAUGUGUCUCAAGUAUGAACAUGGUAGAGGUAAUAAGCUAUAAGGUAUACUAUAUUUUAUACUGUAAUCUAUAGGCGUAUGAUACUACACUAAGCUAUAAGGUAUACUAUAUUUGAUACUAUAAUGUAUAGGUGUAUGAUACUAUACUAAGCUAUAAGGUAUACUAUAUUUGAUACUAUAAUGUAUAGGCGUAUGAUACUAUACUAAGCUAUAAGGUAUAUUUGAUACUAUAUUUUAUAGGCGUAUGAUACUAUACUAAGCUAUAAGGUAUAUUUUAUACUAUAAUGUAUAGGCGUAUGAUACUAUACUAAGCUAUAAGGUAUAUUUGAUACUAUAAUGUAUAGGCGUAUGAUACUAUACUAAGCUAUAAGGUAUAUUUUAUACUAUAAUGUAUAGGCGUAUGAUACUAUACUAAGCUAUAAGGUAUACUAUAUUGUAUACUAUAUUGUAUAGGUGUACAAUACUAAACUAUAAGAUACCCACUUUCAGAUUCAAUUAUGCCACAUUCUGUCCUAAAAAUAGCUUUAAAUGUUUAUGCACUGUGUAUUUACUAAACUUGGGACAAUUAGCAGCGACCAGGUGUCAGGUCAGCCAAAAGAGCAAAUACAGCGCAAUUACACACUUAUUAUAUGAUGUAGCCUAUUUUGUAAUAAAUAGCCGUUUAAUUGGGGCUAAAUCAAUCGGUUGAGCUCUUUUUAAAGCACCUACUACAGUGCUUUAGUUGCUUUUGGCCCCAGAUGAAAGUUGUUGUUUUUUACACUUGGAAUUUUUUAAUCCUUUAUUACAGUUUGCAAACUAUUAGCAACGAUUAAAUAAGCUAAAAUAUAUGCGGGUAGACGUUUACUAAAAUUUGUAACCUCUUCAGGAGGCUGACGCUAACGUACACUGAGUCAACGUGAGAGUCGUUUAAGAAGUUAUCGAACGUCAAUAAUCGAAUUAUCAAAUAAAAUAUCAAGUAUUAAACCAGGAUGUCUGUGGAUCUCUACUGAUCCCGAGUAACAAUCUCUCCUACAUUCCUCCAUUUUAUUCCGCAUCCGCCAAGCCGAGGCUUCGCGUCUCUAAGCCACGCAUCAUUAGACAGCGUGUGUAAGUGUAUAAGACACGGCUGUAUCCGGCUACACAGCGCUGUGGCCAGCGCCGGUGUGCAUUACACAGCCCACUAACCACUGCUGACUAAAUCAAAUUCAACUUAAUCGACUUAGGGCUUUAGUAAUUGGAUGUUCUGUGAUCUGACGGCCCUGACUAGAGCCAACAUGAGGCUAACGAGGAGAAAUCAGCACUGUGCAGUGUGACACACACACACACACAAACACACACGCUGAACUUAUGAGCGUUUUUCCAUUGUACAGAGAUCCGAAACUUUGAGCGCCAGCCAGCUUUAACUCUCGUUCCAAUGAGAAGUGAGUGAUUUAUUUUCAGGAGCUAAACGUGUGAAAGCCUAACUAGUUCUCUCUCGUCCCAGAGGUUCCACGUGGUUGGUUUUUUUGUUUCCUGUCUAACAUCAGCACCGACAGGAACUAAAGAGAAGUAGGAAGUAAUAAAGUACAAUUAUUUUGCUACAUUAAUUAUGUUUGUUACACUAAUUAUGAUUCUGAGUAUCUGCACUGUACUUGAAUUCUUCUUUCACGUUUUCCUACACAGAUGAUAUAACGAGGCGAGUCGCUAAUAAUACGCUGACGUAAUUAGUUCUAUAUUUCGACAUAAAAAUGGCGGUUAAACAAUAACGAAAAAGAACAUCCUGUAAGUGCACGUCUUGCGACGUGACAUUGGCUCUUUCGUAUUACUUCACCUUAGCUAUUUCACCAUUAAGCAGUUCACGGUAGCUAGUUUAUUACAAUGUUAGCUAGUUUAUAUCGUCAGAGUUAUUAGGUGGCAUUAGUUCGUUUCAGUGUUCGCUUGAGGUGCAAACAUUUACGGUUUAGCCAAAGAAUUAACAAGUUUUUAUCACCGCUUUGACGAUAUCUGACUUUUCUGGUUUUUCAGCUAAAACAGCGGUAAAGGAGGAUAAAGAUCGACCUGCAGGAAAGCCGAUUCACUGAAGGGGAAAGGGCACAGGACACGAAACAAAUGUAAUCUGCGCUAAAUUUGACCUGUGAAUUCACCGAGUCUUUGGUUUGUAAAAGAAAUGGAAGAUUUGCGUAGUAUUAAUUCGCUUGUUUUCGUCUUGUUGCGUGGUAGAAUUUAUCGUUGUAGGAUCACGUUGUAGGAUUUAAGCCACAGGCAUUUUUUCCUCAUCAGUGAUGGUUUUUUUUUUUUUUUUUUGUAUUCUUCGUCUUAUUAUUAUUAUUAUUAUUUAAUAAGAGUCUGUAGUUUUAUAAAGACUUUGAGUAAACAAUUUGCCGUGCUUGUGUUUACAAGAGGAUUUAUUUAUUUAUUUAUUUAUUUAUUUAUUUAUUUAUUGCAGCACAGCUUUUCCAUUUUCACUUCAGUAAGGAAUAGUUUGUACUUCUUCCACUUCUGGAACUAAUGGUACUCUGGAGCGGUGGAACUCUACCAUAGCAGGGCUAAAAGAAAAGUGCUUUAAUGGUGGUUCAGUGGACCUGAUGGACUUGAGUAUGUGGGGAAAAGAAAAGAGAAAACAGCGAAAUAUAAUAUUCAUGCUCAUAUGUAUAGAAAUACUCUUAAUUUAAUCUUAGUUUAAUUUACACAGGAUACGGUAUAUCGUGGUUCUGGAACCGUUGGGCCAAUUCUCAUGAGUUAUUUACUCAAGUCAAGUGGGUUUUAGUGUCAAUCUUAGGUUCCAGAAAUGUUCUCUGGUCGAUGAAAGUGUUCCUGUGUUGGAAAUGCAUGUAAAGAUCCCGGCUAUACAUUGGAAAAAAUCUUCCAUUCUCACAUCCAUGAAAGCCAGCCAGCAAAUUAACUUCAACGCCAAGCCUUUACUUCAACUAGUUGGCGCUGUGUGUGCUAAAAGUAAAGACAGCACAAACAAGACCAAUGUCCAAGACCGUCAAUAAGUCAGAGUCAAGUCCACGUCAAUACAGGGAAUAUCUUGAGACCGAGCUCGAGUCCUAUAGCCAUAGCAUGUUCAUAAAUACACCAAACAAUAAAUACACAAUAAGGACAGGGCUAAUAGAAGAAUGGUGGCUGCAGUCACUGUUGAGACAGGAAGCCUCUUUCAGUCUCUUUAUCUCUCAUUCCCUCCUCCUGUCUGUCUCUCUCCCUCUCUGGAGGAUCAGACUAAAAGCGUUUCAGCUCGGGUAAUCCUGUUAGCCGCGCUCCCGUGUUCAGACAGGACGGCUGCAGGCUCCUCUGAGGCCACCUCUCGUUUUUGUCCUCCUCCCUCCGUCUUUCAUAGCUUUGCGAAACACUGACCAGGACCCCUCAGCCUCAGAGGCACGACCUGACGCGCAGGGGGGUCGGGCGGUUGAAAGCGAGAACACUGAGCCGCUCAGGCAUGAGAGAGCCGAACUGAACUAGCCUUCUGGAUGGAGCUGGAUUUAGCAUAACAGUACACACACACCAUCUGUGCAUACAAACAUUCACACACCCUCUAAAACCUUCACAUCAGGGGUAAGAGCCACUUCUUUUUCCCUGAAUCAGCACUGCUCACUCAAGGUCUUUAAAUCAAACACACUGGCUCAUGCUGGCUCCUGGUAAACCCCGCCCCAAAGCAGGAUGUAGUGAGCAGUAUGCUAGCGUGAAUGUUUCCAGAAUUUCCAGAACCAUUUCAAAUGCAAACUAAUAGAGGUUUCAUUUUUAUCCAGUAGGGGGCGCUCUAUUUUACACACCGCUCGUGUCCCAGGCUGACUCGUCGUAUGGUGUGUGUGUGUGUGUGUGUGUGUAUGGUUCCUGAGGGACAUCUGUGAUUGAGUUCUGUGCUAUAAAGCUGUCCAUAUGCCAGACGCCACGUCUGAGAGGCGAAAUGCUGAGACGCAGGAAACGAAUGAUUAUCUGUCACAAGGCAGUGCGCUGCUUUUAUCAUGCGCUAUAUCUUCCUCAGUUAGCAUGCUGGGUGAAAUAUAGCGUAGCUUUUUACAGCUCUGCGCCCCGUCCGAGGCCCUCGGACAGUUCACUACACACUAAAUUGUCGUAGUUUAUCCUGAUCAGUCCCGUCUGUCUGUGCUCACGGCAGAAAGCUGUUACUUUGCAGUGUUUGUUUGGAAAUUAAUUAAGGUUAGGGUUAGCGUGGUGCUUCAGCAAAACAUGGACCGAUAAAUUUGUAGUACUUUUUUAUAGGCAGC